UACGUAGGGUGCGAGCGUUAAUCGGAAUUAUUGGGCGUAAAGGGCGCGUAGGCGGUGCGGUAAGUCUGUAGUGAAAUCUCUGGGCUCAACUCAGAGUCUGCUGCAGAAACUGCCGUGCUUGAGUGUGGGAGAGGUGAGUGGAAUUCCCGGUGUAGCGGUGAAAUGCGUAGAGAUCGGAAAGAACACCAACGGCGAAAGCACUCUGCUGGGCCGACACUGACACUGAGAGACGAAAGCUAGGGGAGCGAAUGGG
This 253-nucleotide ribosomal RNA is filed under the name uncultured bacterium. RNAcentral describes it as "partial 16S ribosomal RNA". It matches the Rfam family "Bacterial small subunit ribosomal RNA", at positions 524 to 776 of the family's 1533-position model. The record is from RNAcentral.